RNAcentral lists this ribosomal RNA (396 nucleotides) under uncultured bacterium. RNAcentral's name for it is "bacterial SSU rRNA". It matches the Rfam family "Bacterial small subunit ribosomal RNA", at positions 957 to 1354 of the family's 1533-position model. The record is from RNAcentral.
UAACGCGAAGAACCUUACCAGGUCUUGACAUCUUCUGCUAACCUAAGAGAUUAGGCGUUCCCUUCGGGGACGGAAUGACAGGUGGUGCAUGGUUGUCGUCAGCUCGUGUCGUGAGAUGUUGGGUUAAGUCCCGCAACGAGCGCAACCCUUAUUGUCAGUUGCCAGCAUUUAGUUGGGCACUCUGGCGAGACUGCCGGUGACAAACCGGAGGAAGGUGGGGAUGACGUCAAAUCAUCAUGCCCCUUAUGACCUGGGCUACACACGUGCUACAAUGGACGGUACAACGAGUCGCGAAACCGCGAGGUCAAGCUAAUCUCUUAAAGCCGUUCUCAGUUCGGAUUGUAGGCUGCAACUCGCCUGCAUGAAGCAGGAAUCGCUAGUAAUCGCCGGUCAGCC